UAUACUUGCUGUUCCCUCUGCACACUUACUUUGCUCUAUAUGCCUUUUAAAAAGUUAUAGGACUUAAUGCUCGAAUCAUUGUGGAUUAUUUUAUGUGAAGUUGGCUCCAAAGAAGCCUCUACUCUCUACUUCCCUCACUGAACACAGAACUCAAAGCCCAGCAUUUCAUCACCACUACUAGAUAAACAAAAAGUAUUGGAGAGCCCAUUGCACAAAGUUUUCUUCCUUUGCUCCUCCACGCUGGUACCACAGAUAUCUACAAGAAGCCCCUUCUGAUCUUGAGGGAGCAAGCUGGAAUCCCUGCAGAAGGAAACACUGCAAUUUGAAUGGAGUGCAUGGAUUUCAUGAGCAGCUUUAGAAAGUGGCAGAAGCUGGAGUAGUAGGCAGGAAAUGUAUGAGGGCAGAGAAAAGCAACAAAUUUUAUGGGGAUAUUGAAAUACUGGCUGAAUGUACCAAGGUACAGACUCAGGGAGGUCACAGCUGAACUUCCACUCCAGUUGUCAAUGUCCAUCUCUCUCUUCUGCAAGCCUCAUCACACUCAUGUUCUUGAAAUUUCUCCUUACAGAGACUGGAUCCCUGCUAGCUCCCCUCAAAAUCCUGCAUUACUUUCUGUUGUUCAUCGACGAAAGCAAGAUAAAGUAAACCUGUUACCUUCUAACCACUGUGCUUUAACAGUUACCCACACUUGCAAGGCACUCCAGAGCACACUUGCAGCCCUCAAAAGCAGAAUGUCCUGCAUAUUGCUUCUGGCAUCAGCUGCAUUACACUUGAAGCAUUUAUCAUCACUGUGGCUCUUUGAUCCUUUCCAGGAUCGAACUUCCCGGUGUGACGCCCCUCUGUACAAAAGCCUUAGGUAAUCAACACUUAUACUGUGACAGCUCAUGCUGCAAAAACACCAGUACUAUUUCAUGGUGAAACAGAUGUUUUAAGAAUGCACCUAGCAUCUUCAGGGAGGGCUGUUCUCUAGCUUAACAUUAUUUUAAAAAUACAACAAGAAUUCUAAAAUAUAAAUCUGCAUAGCAAAAAAAUGUGUUAUUAAGCAUACUAAAGCUUAUGUUACAUUAGCAACAUAACAUAAACUGUUUCAUAACAGACAAAAAAUGGCAGAAAGGGAAGCCUAGACACCAAUUUCAUAGCUACCUAGUUUGUGAAGCAUGACACUUUUAUAGAAACCCCUGACCCUUUAUACCUUGAAAACAUUUCUCUUUUUUUUUUUUUUGUAGUAUGCAUUAUAAACGAAACACAGAAUUUCAAUUAAAAAAUCAACCUUUGUCUACUCUUAGCCUAUUUUUUUCCUAUAUUGCAUUAAUUGUCUGCACAAUUGUCUUCAAAAAAAUUAAAAGUGGAAAUAUUUUUUACUUUUACUGGUGUACUGUCAGACUAAAAGAAAAUAAUCAAAAAUUAGAACAAUUAAAAUAUAAAUAUAAAAACAAUUAUUAAACUGGAAAUUAAACCAUAUAAUGAUUUUUGAAUGAAUAUAGGUUUUGCUAUUUCUUUUUCAAAGAAAAUAGAAGAAAACAUAUGUUUUUCCUAUUCUGAAGAAUAAAUUACUAUUUCAGUCCUAUGGUUUGGGAAUUCUGUUUCUGCUACAAUCAAGCCAUCCUGUCACCCCAUGCAGAACCUCAUUCCCUGAGAAGGAUUUAAGUCUAAUAAGAGGUCUUACUGAUCUGUUUCAUUACUUGCUUACUUGGCAAUUUCUUGAACACUGUAGGAGGAUUACAUUAGCUUUGCAUGUCAUGGGGAAAGGAUAUGCAGAAAUGCCCAUGAAUACUGAACUUCAGGGUACUGUUGAAUUUUUAACAUUUCAAAGAACACUCUUUGAAAAACUGGUUGAAUGAUUUGGAAAUGGACAGUGAAGACAGCAUGAAAGUGCCAUAAAAAUAGAAUUAUUAUAAUACUUAAAAAAUAAAAAACAUUUUGUGAUUGCUUAUUGUUAAAACAAACAAAAAAAAAAAAAAACAAACCAACCCUCAACAUUUCCUCCCCGAGGGACAGUGACUUGGCUGUAGCAUU
Long non-coding RNA from Passer domesticus (house sparrow), 2013 nucleotides. RefSeq lists it as uncharacterized. Lineage: Eukaryota; Metazoa; Chordata; Aves; Passeriformes; Passeridae. The transcript is spliced from 3 exons. The record is from RefSeq and is a predicted model, not a curated record.